GAUGAACGCUGGCGGCGUGCCUAAUACAUGCAAGUCGAGCGAACAGACGAAGAGCUUGCUCCUCUGACGUUAGCGGCGGACGGGUGAGUAACACGUGGAUAACCUACCUAUAAGACUGGGAUAACUUCGGGAAACCGGAGCUAAUACCGGAUAAUAUAUUGAACCGCAUGGUUCAAUAGUGAAAGACGGUUUUGCUGUCACUUAUAGAUGGAUCCGCGCCGCAUUAGCUAGUUGGUAAGGUAACGGCUUACCAAGGCAACGAUGCGUAGCCGACCUGAGAGGGUGAUCGGCCACACUGGAACUGAGACACGGUCCAGACUCCUACGGGAGGCAGCAGUGGGGAAUCUUCCGCAAUGGGCGAAAGCCUGACGGAGCAACGCCGCGUGAGUGAUGAAGGUCUUCGGAUCGUAAAACUCUGUUAUUAGGGAAGAACAAAUGUGUAAGUAACUAUGCACGUCUUGACGGUACCUAAUCAGAAAGCCACGGCUAACUACGUG
RNAcentral lists this ribosomal RNA (497 nucleotides) under uncultured bacterium. Its description in RNAcentral is "partial 16S ribosomal RNA". It matches the Rfam family "Bacterial small subunit ribosomal RNA", at positions 28 to 507 of the family's 1533-position model. The record is from RNAcentral.